Molecule: ribosomal RNA, 486 nt
Filed under: uncultured bacterium
Lineage: Bacteria
Description: partial 16S ribosomal RNA
Rfam family: Bacterial small subunit ribosomal RNA
Source: RNAcentral
AUUGAACGCUGGCGGCAUGCCUUACACAUGCAAGUCGAACGGCAGCACGGGUGCUUGCCCCUGGUGGCGAGUGGCGAACGGGUGAGUAAUACAUCGGAACAUGUCCUGUAGUGGGGGAUAGCCCGGCGAAAGCCGGAUUAAUACCGCAUACGAUCUACGGAUGAAAGCGGGGGACCUUCGGGCCUCGCGCUAUAGGGUUGGCCGAUGGCUGAUUAGCUAGUUGGUGGGGUAAAGGCCUACCAAGGCGACGAUCAGUAGCUGGUCUGAGAGGACGACCAGCCACACUGGGACUGAGACACGGCCCAGACUCCUACGGGAGGCAGCAGUGGGGAAUUUUGGACAAUGGGCGAAAGCCUGAUCCAGCAAUGCCGCGUGUGUGAAGAGGGCCUUCGGGUUGUAAAGCACUUUUGUCCGGAAAGAAAUCCUUGGCCCUAAUACGGUCGGGGGAUGACGGUACCGGAAGAAUAAGCACCGGCUAACUACGUG